GUUGGUGAACCAGCGGAGGGAUCAUUUACUGAGUUUACGCUCUACAACCCUUUGUGAACAUACCUAUAACUGUUGCUUCGGCGGGUAGGGUCUCCGUGACCCUCCCGGCCUCCCGCCCCCGGGCGGGUCGGCGCCCGCCGGAGGAUAACCAAACUCUGAUUCAACGACGUUUCUUCUGAGUGGUACAAGCAAAUAAUCAAAACUUUUAACAACGGAUCUCUUGGUUCUGGCAUCGAUGAAGAACGCAGCGAAAUGCGAUAAGUAAUGUGAAUUGCAGAAUUCAGUGAAUCAUCGAAUCUUUGAACGCACAUUGCGCCCGCCAGCAUUCUGGCGGGCAUGCCUGUUCGAGCGUCAUUUCAACCCUCAAGCUCUGCUUGGUGUUGGGGCCCUACAGCUGAUGUAGGCCCUCAAAGGUAGUGGCGGACCCUCCCGGAGCCUCCUUUGCGUAGUAACUUUACGUCUCGCACUGGGAUCCGGAGGGACUCUUGCCGUAAAACCCCCAAUUUUCCAAAGGUUGACCUCGGAUCAGGUAGGAAUACCCGCUGAACUUAAGCAUAUC
RNAcentral lists this ribosomal RNA (559 nucleotides) under Colletotrichum aotearoa. RNAcentral describes it as "eukaryotic LSU rRNA". The stretch from base 201 to 354 matches the Rfam family "5.8S ribosomal RNA". Lineage: Eukaryota; Fungi; Ascomycota; Sordariomycetes; Glomerellales; Glomerellaceae. The record is from RNAcentral.